Molecule: ribosomal RNA, 520 nt
Filed under: uncultured bacterium
Lineage: Bacteria
Description: bacterial SSU rRNA
Rfam family: Bacterial small subunit ribosomal RNA
Source: RNAcentral
UGGGGAAUCUUGCGCAAUGGGCGAAAGCCUGACGCAGCGACGCCGCGUGUGGGAUGACGGCCUUCGGGUUGUAAACCACUGUCGGGAGGGACGAAAAAAUGACGGUACCUCCAAAGGAAGCACCGGCUAACUCUGUGCCAGCAGCCGCGGUAAUACAGAGGGUGCGAGCGUUGUCCGGAAUUACUGGGCGUAAAGGGCGCGUAGGCGGCCCGAUAAGUCGGGGGUGAAAUUCAGCGGCUCAACCGCUGGACUGCCUUCGAGACUGUCAGGCUCGAGCACGGUAGAGGCUGGUGGAAUUCCCGGUGUAGCGGUGGAAUGCGUAGAGAUCGGGAAGAACAUCGGUGGCGAAGGCGGCCAGCUGGGCCGUUGCUGACGCUGAGGCGCGACAGCGUGGGGAGCAAACAGGAUUAGAUACCCUGGUAGUCCACGCCGUAAACGAUGGGUACUAGGCGUCGGGGGGAGCGGACCCCUUCGGUGCCGUCGUUAACACAGUAAGUACCCCGCCUGGGGAGUACGGCCG